AGUGAACGCUGGCGGUAGGCCUAACACAUGCAAGUCGAACGGCAGCACAGUAAGAGCUUGCUCUUACGGGUGGCGAGUGGCGGACGGGUGAGGAAUACAGCGGAAUCUACUUUUUCGUGGGGGAUAACGUAGGGAAACUUACGCUAAUACCGCAUACGACCUACGGGUGAAAGCAGGGGAUCUUCGGACCUUGCGCGAUUGAAUGAGCCGAUGUCGGAUUAGCUAGUUGGCGGGGUAAAGGCCCACCAAGGCGACGAUCCGUAGCUGGUCUGAGAGGAUGAUCAGCCACACUGGAACUGAGACACGGUCCAGAGUCCUACGGGAGGCAGCAGUGGGGAAUAUUAGACAAUGGGCGCAAGCCUGAUCCAGCCAUACCGCGUGGGUGAAGAAGGCCUUCGGGUUGUAAAGCCCUUUUGUUGGGAAAGAAAAGCAGCAGGUUAAUACCCCGCUGUUCUGACGGUACCCAAAGAAUAAGCACCGGCUAACUUCGUG
This 492-nucleotide ribosomal RNA is filed under the name uncultured bacterium. RNAcentral describes it as "partial 16S ribosomal RNA". It matches the Rfam family "Bacterial small subunit ribosomal RNA", at positions 29 to 507 of the family's 1533-position model. The record is from RNAcentral.